GACGAACGCUGGCGGCGUGCUUAACACAUGCAAGUCGAACGGGAAGGCCCCAGCUUGCUGGGGUACACGAGUGGCGAACGGGUGAGUAACACGUGGGUGACCUGCCCCGCACUUCGGGAUAAGCCUGGGAAACUGGGUCUAAUACCGGAUAGGAUCAAGGUGUGGAUAAUGUGGCGGAAAGGUUUUUCGGUGUGGGAUGGGCCCGCGGCCUAUCAGCUUGCUGGUGGGGUAAUGGCCUAGCCAGGCGGCGACGCGUAGCCGGCCUGGGAGGGGGGACGGCCCCACUGGGACUGGGCCGCGGCCCGGACUCCACCGGGACGCAACGGUGGAGAGUAUUACACUAGAGGCGGGAGCCUGGUGCGAUGACGCCGCGUGGGGGAUGACGGGCUUCGGGUUGUAAACUCCUUUCCCCUUCCACGAAGGGUUACUGACGGUAGCUGGAGAAGAAGCACCGGCUAACUACGUG
This 466-nucleotide ribosomal RNA is filed under the name uncultured bacterium. RNAcentral's name for it is "partial 16S ribosomal RNA". It matches the Rfam family "Bacterial small subunit ribosomal RNA", at positions 28 to 507 of the family's 1533-position model. The record is from RNAcentral.